CCGGCGCACGGGUGCGUAACACGUAUACAAUCUGCCUUUAACUGGGGCAUAACCUUUCGAAAGAGAGACUAAUACCCCAUAAUAGUAGAGAAGGCAUCUUCUUUAUUUGAAAGCUCCGGCGGUUAAAGAUGAGUAUGCGGAUGAUUAGCUAGAUGGUGAGGUAACGGCUCACCAUGGCGACGAUCAAUAGGGGAUCUGAGAGGACUACCCCCCACACUGGUACUGAGACACGGACCAGACUCCUACGGGAGGCAGCAGUAAGGAAUAUUGGACAAUGCUCGCAAGAGUGAUCCAGCCAUGCCGCGUGCAGGAAGACGGCCCUAUGGGUUGUAAACUGCUUUUGAACUAGAGAAAACCCCCCUUCGUGAAGGGGGCUGAUAGUAUAGUUAGAAUAAGCAUCGGCUAACUUCGUGCCAGCAGCCGCGGUAAGACGAAGGAUGCAAGCGUUAUCCGGAUUCAUUGGGUUUAAAGGGAGCGUAGGUGGAUUUGUAAGUCAGUGGUGAAAGCCGGCAGCUUAACUGUCGAACUGCCAUUGAUACUGCGGAUCUUGAGUAUGGUUGCUGUGGGCGGAAUAUGACAUGUAGAGGUGGAAUUCAUAGAGAUGUCAUAGAACACCGAUUGCGAAGGCAGCUCACAAAGCCAUUACUGACACUGAGGCUCGAAAGUGCGGGGAUCAAACAGGAUUAGAUACCCUGGUAGUCCGCACUGUAAACGAUGAUUACUCGCUGCUAGGAGGUAACUUUUAGUGGCUAAGCGAAAGCGAUAAGUAAUCCACCUGGGGAGUACGCCGGCAACG
Molecule: ribosomal RNA, 796 nt
Filed under: uncultured bacterium
Lineage: Bacteria
Description: bacterial SSU rRNA
Rfam family: Bacterial small subunit ribosomal RNA
Source: RNAcentral